Molecule: ribosomal RNA, 266 nt
Filed under: uncultured bacterium
Lineage: Bacteria
Description: partial 16S ribosomal RNA
Rfam family: Bacterial small subunit ribosomal RNA
Source: RNAcentral
GUCCACGCUGUAAACGAUGAGAACUAGGUGUCGUGGGUGUUGACCCCCGCGGUGCCGCAGCUAACGCAUUAAGUUCUCCGCCUGGGAAGUACGGCCGCAAGGCUAAAACUCAAAGGAAUUGACGGGGGCCCGCACAAGCGGUGGAGCAUGUGGUUUAAUUCGACGCAACGCGCAGAACCUUACCCAGACUUGACAUCUAUCAAAGUUGGCCCAAAAGCCGACGUGCCCGCAAGGGAAUGGUAAGACAGGUGCUGCAUGGCUGUCGU